This 495-nucleotide ribosomal RNA is filed under the name uncultured bacterium. RNAcentral describes it as "partial 16S ribosomal RNA". It matches the Rfam family "Bacterial small subunit ribosomal RNA", at positions 28 to 507 of the family's 1533-position model. The record is from RNAcentral.
GACGAACGCUGGCGGCGUGCCUAAUACAUGCAAGUAGAACGCUGAAGGAGGAGCUUGCUUCUCCGGAUGAGUUGCGAACGGGUGAGUAACGCGUAGGUAACCUGCCUGGUAGCGGGGGAUAACCAUUGGAAACGAUAGCUAAUACCGCAUAACAGUAGAUGUUGCAUGACAUUUGCUUAAAAGGUGCAAUUGCAUCACUACCAGAUGGACCUGCGUUGUAUUAGCUAGUUGGUGAGGUAACGGCUCACCAAGGCGACGAUACAUAGCCGACCUGAGAGGGUGAUCGGCCACACUGGGACUGAGACACGGCCCAGACUCCUACGGGAGGCAGCAGUAGGGAAUCUUCGGCAAUGGACGGAAGUCUGACCGAGCAACGCCGCGUGAGUGAAGAAGGUUUUCGGAUCGUAAAGCUCUGUUGUAAGAGAAGAACGAGUGUGAGAGUGGAAAGUUCACACUGUGACGGUAUCUUACCAGAAAGGGACGGCUAACUACGUG